GGGGGGGAAUAAGCUGCACCGGCAUUGCCCCAGUAACGGCGAGUGAAGCGGCAACAGCUCAAAUUUGAAAUCUGGCCCCAGGCCCGAGUUGUAAUUUGCAGAGGAUGCUUUUGGCGCGGUGCCUUCCGAGUUCCCUGGAACGGGACGCCAUAGAGGGUGAGAGCCCCGUACGGUUGGACACCAAGCCUUUGUAAAGCUCCUUCGACGAGUCGAGUAGUUUGGGAAUGCUGCUCAAAAUGGGAGGUAUAUUUCUUCUAAAGCUAAAUAUUGGCCAGAGACCGAUAGCGCACAAGUAGAGUGAUCGAAAGAUGAAAAGCACUUUGAAAAGAGGGUUAAACAGCACGUGAAAUUGUUAAAAGGGAAGCGCUUGUGACCAGACUUGCGCCCGGUGAAUCACCCAGCUCUCGCGGCUGGGGCACUUUGCCGGCACAGGCCAGCAUCAGCUCGCCGUCGGGGACAAAAGUAGGGGGAACGUAGCUCCCUUCGGGGAGUGUUAUAGCCCCCUACAUAAUACCCUUCGGCGGGCUGAGGUACGCGCUCCGCAAGGAUGCUGGCGUAAUGGUCACCAGCGACCCGUCUUGAAACACGGACCAAGGAGUCAACCUUAUGUGCGAGUGUUUGGGUGUCAAACCCCUACGCGUAAUGAAAGUGAACGCAGGUGAGAGCUUCGGCGCAUCAUCGACCGAUCCUGAUGUUCUCGGAUGGAUUUGAGUAAGAGCAUAUAGGGUUGGACCCGAAAGAAGGUGAACUAUGCGUGUAUAGGGUGAAGCCAGAGGAAACUCUGGUGGAGGCUCGCAGCGGUUCUGACGUGCAAAUCGAUCGUCAAAUAUGCGCAUGGGGGCGAAAGACUAAUCGAACCUUCUAGUAGCUGGUUUCCGCCGAAGUUUCCCUCAGGAUAGCAGUGUUGAACUCAGUUUUAUGAGGUAAAGCGAAUGAUUAGGGACUCGGGGGCGCUAUAUUGCCUUCAUCCAUUCCCAAACUUUAAAUAUGUAAGAAGCCCUUGUUACUUAAUUGAACGUGGGCAUUCGAAGGAUCAACCCUAGGGGGCCAUUUUUGGUAAGCAAAACUGGCAAUGCGGAAGAACCGAACCCAGGUUAGGUGCCAAAUAUUCGCUCUCAAAACCCCAAAAGGGGUUGUAAUUUUGACGCGGACCGGGGCCAGGAAAGCGAAUCCCCAAGGAGGGGUAACCUCCCCGCCAAUGUCAACCCCAAAAGGUGGGGCUCCACACACCCCCACCCCCCCCCG
Molecule: ribosomal RNA, 1245 nt
Filed under: Colletotrichum falcatum
Lineage: Eukaryota; Fungi; Ascomycota; Sordariomycetes; Glomerellales; Glomerellaceae
Description: partial large subunit ribosomal RNA
Rfam family: Eukaryotic large subunit ribosomal RNA
Source: RNAcentral